GCGUGCAGGCCUAACACAUGCAAGUCGAGCGGUAGCACAGAGAGCUUGCUCUCGGGUGACGAGCGGCGGACGGGUGAGUAAUGUCUGGGAAACUGCCUGAUGGAGGGGGAUAACUACUGGAAACGGUAGCUAAUACCGCAUAACGUCGCAAGACCAAAGUGGGGGACCUUCGGGCCUCAUGCCAUCAGAUGUGCCCAGAUGGGAUUAGCUAGUAGGUGGGGUAACGGCUCACCUAGGCGACGAUCCCUAGCUGGUCUGAGAGGAUGACCAGCCACACUGGAACUGAGACACGGUCCAGACUCCUACGGGAGGCAGCAGUGGGGAAUAUUGCACAAUGGGCGCAAGCCUGAUGCAGCCAUGCCGCGUGUGUGAAGAAGGCCUUCGGGUUGUAAAGCACUUUCAGCGGGGAGGAAGGCGGUAAGGUUAAUAACCUUGUCGAUUGACGUUACCCGCAGAAGAAGCACCGGCUAACUCCGUGCCAGCAGCCGCGGUAAUACGGAGGGUGCAAGCGUUAAUCGGAAUUACUGGGCGUAAAGCGCACGCAGGCGGUCUGUCAAGUCGGAUGUGAAAUCCCCGGGCUCAACCUGGGAACUGCAUUCGAAACUGGCAGGCUAGAGUCUUGUAGAGGGGGGUAGAAUUCCAGGUGUAGCGGUGAAAUGCGUAGAGAUCUGGAGGAAUACCGGUGGCGAAGGCGGCCCCCUGGACAAAGACUGACGCUCAGGUGCGAAAGCGUGGGGAGCAAACAGGAUUAGAUACCCUGGUAGUCCACGCCGUAAACGAUGUCGAUUUGGAGGUUGUGCCCUUGAGGCGUGGCUUCCGGAGCUAACGCGUUAAAUCGACCGCCUGGGGAGUACGGCCGCAAGGUUAAAACUCAAAUG
RNAcentral lists this ribosomal RNA (878 nucleotides) under Klebsiella pneumoniae. RNAcentral's name for it is "bacterial SSU rRNA". It matches the Rfam family "Bacterial small subunit ribosomal RNA", at positions 39 to 907 of the family's 1533-position model. Lineage: Bacteria; Pseudomonadati; Pseudomonadota; Gammaproteobacteria; Enterobacterales; Enterobacteriaceae. The record is from RNAcentral.